GAUGAAGAACGUAGCGAAAUGCGAUACUUGGUGUGAAUUGCAGAAUCCCGUGAACCAUCGAGUCUUUGAACGCAAGUUGCGCCUCAAGCCAUUAGGUUGAGGGCACGUCUGCCUGGGCGUCACAUAUCGUUGCCUGAUGCCAGUUUCCUCGUGAUGGGUGACUGUGCAGGGCGAAUGAUGUCUUCCCGUGAGCAUUGUUGCCUCAUGGUUGGUUGAAAAUUGAGUCCUUGGUAGGGAGCGCCGUGAUAGAUGGUGGUUGAGUGACGAACGAGACCCAAUCAUGUGAGACCCCUACCGAAUUUGGCCUUCAUGACCCACAUGCGUCUUUGGAACGCUCAUGACGAGACCUCAGGUCAGGCGGGGCUACCCGCUGAGUUUAAGCAUAUCAAUAAGCGGAGGA
RNAcentral lists this unclassified non-coding RNA (400 nucleotides) under soil metagenome. RNAcentral describes it as "partial contains 5.8S ribosomal RNA, internal transcribed spacer 2, and large subunit ribosomal RNA". The stretch from base 1 to 122 matches the Rfam family "5.8S ribosomal RNA", at positions 35 to 154 of the family's 154-position model. The record is from RNAcentral.